Micropterus dolomieu (smallmouth bass) is the source of this 515-nucleotide long non-coding RNA. RefSeq lists it as uncharacterized. The transcript is spliced from 4 exons. NCBI's taxonomy places the organism in Eukaryota, Metazoa, Chordata, Actinopteri, Centrarchiformes, Centrarchidae. The record is from RefSeq and is a predicted model, not a curated record.
CAAGAAUGCAGCUGUGCAGAGAGAGAGUGUAAUAAUUAUAGUGCAUCUUCCCUCCGCUCACAGUUGUUGACUUCUCUCCAAGCUCAUUACUGUGUCAAUAAGGAGUAAUCUGCCACAAAGUCUAACGCCGUCGACAGAAAAUGUCCAGUCCCUGUUCAGACGCCGCUGGCUGCGACCAGAACCCUCAGUCAGGGGAUAAGAAGUCUCAUGGCGGCUGCCACAAGGGCAAGGGCCAUGGAGGCAAGCAUGAUAAAGGAGGCGAUCACAAAGGAGGAGACCACGAACACGGGCACAAGAAGCAUGGCCAUGGUCAUGGUCAUGGUCAUGGUCAUGGUCACGGACCAGAACAAGGAAAAGAACACGGAGAUAAUUAGAAAGGUGAAUACAGGCUGCAAACACACUGACCACCAGACGUCCUGUGAAACCUGUCAAUGCACUCUAACAUUAAAACAUGUGACACUAUUACCUUAAAUCUGAUUUACUUAAAAAGAGGUCAUUAAACAGACUUUUAAUAA